This 401-nucleotide ribosomal RNA is filed under the name uncultured bacterium. RNAcentral describes it as "bacterial SSU rRNA". It matches the Rfam family "Bacterial small subunit ribosomal RNA", at positions 28 to 417 of the family's 1533-position model. The record is from RNAcentral.
AACGAACGUUGGCGGCGUGGAUGAGGCAUGCAAGUCGCACGUGAAAGUCGCAAGAUGAGUAAAGUGGCGGACGGGCGAGUAACACGUAAUCGAGCUGCCCACGGGACGGGGAUAACCUCGGGAAACCGAGGCUAAUACCCGAUGGUCUCACCGGAUCGCAUGGUCUGGUGAGUAAAUGCUGGGGUCCUUCGGGACCUGGUGCUUGUGGAGGUGAUUGCGGCCCAUCAGCUAGUUGGCGGGGUAACGGCCCACCAAGGCGAUGACGGGUAGCCGGCCUAAGAGGGUGGUCGGCCGCACUGGGACUGAGAUACUGCCCAGACUCCUACGGGAGGCUGCAGUCGAGAAUCUUCCGCAAUGGGCGAAAGCCUGACGGAGCGACGCCGCGUGGAGGACGAAGGCCU